GGAAGGUUUCUUCAUGUUCACCUUAAAUCUGAGUCAAAGACGUGGAUGUUCAAGCAGCAUUGUCCCCGUUCACUAAUAGUUUUGAAGCCACUCAUCGCCCAGCAGGCAACUUAUCCAAGUGUGACAGACAAACUGAUACCUUCAGUGCAAAUACACUAAGCAUGGGCAAACUGAAACAGCAGUUAACCUUCUAAGAUGAACAAUAUUUGCCUGUUCAUAUAUUCUGGAUUUGUCAAUUAAGGGAACGAAAUUGUUUGUGAUUUUAGGUCUAUCUAGGGUUUUAUACCUGUGAGCUAAACUCACCAAAACUAUACAGUGGUAAACUUUUUCUCAAGGGUACCUUGACAGUUGUUGUUGAGAGAUGAGUAAGCAUUACCUAUUCCCUGUCUUCUUCAACUGUUCUUCAACAUCUUCAGUGUUCCAGUUACAGCCCCACACUGUGGUUUAAGUCCCUCAGCGAAGGAUUAGUCAGGUUGCUCCAGUGAAAGAUGGAUGGAUCAAACUUGCCUCUUACUGACUCUGGAUGCCUUCCCUCUGGAUCCAGUGACACUGCUUACCCUCUAUUACCUCUCAUCUCACAGUCUCCAUGAUCUACGCAGAGAGAAAAACCCAAAGAGAACCUGUUUGUAAAAUGGACAGAGAUACGCUCCAGUCCCAGGGGAAGUUGCUAAUUUUGGAGCGUAGCACACAAAACAAAACAAACUGUCUCCACAUGAAAGGCCUCAUGAAUAUUUACAAGUGAUGAUCACAGUGGGCUGCUAUUAUCAUUACACGUCUGUCCGUGCAAGGAAUGUAAAGCCGGCACACACCCCGGACUGAAAGGUGCCUUAGACCUCAUCCCGAAUGCACCAUGUCAUAUUUUGAUGUUAUGAAGCAUGACAGUGAUUCUCCUCCUACUUCAUAUGUAACAGCUGUUGAUGCCUGCUGCUUUACAGCCACGUUUGAAUUAGAAUUUUGUGAAAUGCCCUGAAAGCGGAGAGUCGAAUGUGACUUUAACCUUCAAAAAUAUAUAAAGUCAUAGCACGGCUCAGUGGAUCAGCUGCCUUUACAGGAACGAUUCAAAGUGUGCAUCCAGGAUUCCCUAUUCUGUAUACAAGCCUAUAAACUAACCAUGAAACUGUUUGUUGAGUGUUAUAUAGGCUUUGAUGAAGUUUUUCUUUGUGCUAAAUUUAACGUUAUGAUGUAAUUAGCGUCCUGCUUUGCUGCUUUCCAAACUUUAGAUGCUUAAAAUCUGUCAACAGUCGCUUCUGCUCUCCUUUAUUAUGAAAUU
Long non-coding RNA from Scatophagus argus, 1270 nucleotides. RefSeq lists it as uncharacterized. Lineage: Eukaryota; Metazoa; Chordata; Actinopteri; Scatophagidae. The transcript is spliced from 3 exons. The record is from RefSeq and is a predicted model, not a curated record.